RNAcentral lists this non-coding RNA (25 nucleotides) under Mus musculus (house mouse). Lineage: Eukaryota; Metazoa; Chordata; Mammalia; Rodentia; Muridae. The record is from RNAcentral.
UAAAAUAGGCCCACUUGUCCUCGGA